UUAGUUCCUGUACCCCUCAUGUUUGGUGGAUGGUUGUAUGUAACCUGAAUGUAUUGAAUGAAAUACAAAUUUUGAAGCAAUUGUAUUGAAUUGUAAAAAUUAUCUAGUCAUUUGUACAAGUAUUUGAUGCAUAAAGUACUCUACAGUCCCUCAAUUGAAAAUUCCUGUGAAAUCAUACUGAUAUUCAUGUUUCCCUCAUCUUCAAUCUAUUUUCAGAAAACCUAAUUUCGCCCUCAGUGACCGGACUUCAGGUACGGAUCUACCUUCAGUGAGUUCGUCGCCACCUACUAACCUUCAACUAAUCUCCGAUCGACGCCUACUAAUCGUUCAAUUGAUUUCAAUUUGUGCUUACAGAUCUCGCCAUCCAUCUCCUGGCCGUUUGUAUGCUAGCUAUUAUGUUUCUCAUUGUGAGGCACUGAGGCCUUAUUAAAGUUUUCUCUGCUGUGAGACUUGGUUAAAAUUUUGAUGGAUGUGUGUUAUACUAGUUUAAUUUGUGUUGUUAUACUUCAAUUUCUGUUUCUUAUUGUUAGGCCUGAUAAAUUUUUUGAUUUGUAUGCAUACAAGAUGUAUACAUAUUGUUGGUGAUGCUCUGCUAUGGUGUUAACCCCAGUCCCGGUGGACCAUUUCUGUAAAAAACGGUCCCUUUGUAGAAUUGAUUUUUUACAGAAAUAGUCCCUGGUAAAUUUACAAAAUAGGUCCCAAUAUAGCGAAAAAAAUUACAGAAUUGUCCCUGUGUAAGAAAAAGUUGCAGAAAUGGUUCCUAUAAGACACAAUAGGUUCUUUUGCAGAAUUGUUUUUACAGAAAUGGUCACCUGGAAAUUUACAGAAUACGUCCCUGUGCAGAAAAAUAAAUUACAAAAAUGUCACUGUUUAAUAGAAAGUGGCAAAAAAUGGUCCAUGUAAGUCACAAGAUGAGCUUUUACAGAAAUGGUGCCCGGGAAAUUUACAAAUAGGUCCCUGUGCAGGAAAAUAAAUUACAAAAAUGUCCUAAUUAAUCAGCUAACCAUUUGUCCUUCAAUCUUUGAUCUGUAGUUUUUGCUAUGUUUAUGUUUUAUAUUGGUUUACUGUGUUACUGCUGCUGUGUGUCUGUGUUAAAGGAGUGAUAUGAGUUUAUUGUGUUACUGGUGUUAUACUAAACAUUUGAGUUGCACUUAUUUAUUUAGUUGCUUUUAAGUUACACUUGUUUGCUUGCUAUUGUUUAGGUGCUCCCCAAAAGGCCAGAGGUUAUAGCCAAAAAGCCGAAACUUGCUAUUAUUGUUAAUGACAUUCUCAGUGUGAAAGAGAUUAAGCGAAUACCAUAUCUGUUGUCUAAGGGAUCAAAAAAUUGGCUGAUUUGGAGGUGGGUAUAUUAUGAAAUCAUAUACUUUUUUCAUUGUAAAACAAAUCGGUUGAUAUUUUAUUAUUGUGCAUUUUUUUAUAGGCAUUGCCAAAAGGGAAGUGGUUUUGCUUCCCAGAUUGUAAGAGAAUUCAUUAAUGUUUUGCAAAAUUUGCUAACUCAAAAUCCGGAGAUUGUUGAUGAUGACCUGUUGACUUUUAUGAGGGAGAAGCAAAAGGAUAAGGAGGAGAAGGGGGACAAGGACAAAAAUGUAAUUUCAAAAAUGAAAUUUGAUCUUUUAAGUGAGAAGAAUGCUACCCAUGAAACCACACCCAUGCUUACACAAACAAUUGAGGUGCUGUUUGUAACCAUAAGGUCCAUUUAUAAAGUUGGAGACUAAAGCCCAGAUUCUGCAAAACCAUAUGGACCAUUUAUGGAGAUUUGUCUUUUUUGCAAAAUGAGGCCCUUUAAAUUUUAAAACGAAAAAUUAUAAUCAAAUAACUACAAUUAAUAGUUCAUUUAUUUCAGUAGCUUUUACCAACAUACAAAUGUGAUCCGAAAUGAAUUUUUUUAUAGAUACAAUAUACAAGACCUUCCAUAUGGUUUAUGAUAUCCGGAAAUAAGACAUUCCCAUAUGCUUUCAUAUAACUGUGAUAAAUUGAUAAGUAUUUUUAUCACACCAUACAAAGCUUUUUUUAACGGCAAAAGUAAAUAAAUAAAACCAAAAAAACCAACAAGAAGCAACAAGUUGGAGUACAUACUACAUAGUACAAACAAACUAAAUCAGCCAAAAUAAAGGCCAAAAUAAAAUAAAAUAACAACAGCCAAAGAAAAACCAACCAAACAUGGGCAAAAGUGUCAAAAUGAUUUUUUUGGGAAACAACCCAACACGACAUGAUGGAGAACCAGAAUAUGUGAGCAGCAUCAAUCUUAUCAUUGGGGCAAAUCUUUCCAACGUAAAUUAAGCGCAAAAUGGACUUUUUUUUUUGGUAAAAACAUGUAUAGUUGGGCAAAAUGGAUUUGUUUUGGUAAAAACAUGUAUAGUUGUCCAUGACUCCAUGUAAUUACAUA
This 2386-nucleotide long non-coding RNA is filed under the name Lactuca sativa (garden lettuce). Its description in RNAcentral is "long non-coding RNA (LSAT_LNC003518)". Lineage: Eukaryota; Viridiplantae; Streptophyta; Magnoliopsida; Asterales; Asteraceae. The record is from RNAcentral.